GACGAACGCUGGCGGCAGGCUUAACACAUGCAAGUCGAGCGCCCCGCAAGGGGAGCGGCGGACGGGUGAGUAACGCGUGGGAAUCUGCCCUUUGGUGUGGGACAACCACGGGAAACUGUGGCUAAUACCGCAUGAGCCCGAGAGGGGAAAGCCGCAAGGCGCCGAGGGAUGAGCCCGCGUCGGAUUAGCUAGUUGGUAGGGUAACGGCCUACCAAGGCGAUGAUCCGUAGCUGGUCUGAGAGGAUGAUCAGCCACACUGGGACUGAGACACGGCCCAGACUCCUACGGGAGGCAGCAGUGGGGAAUAUUGGACAAUGGGGGAAACCCUGAUCCAGCCAUGCCGCGUGAGUGAUGAAGGCC
Molecule: ribosomal RNA, 360 nt
Filed under: uncultured bacterium
Lineage: Bacteria
Description: bacterial SSU rRNA
Rfam family: Bacterial small subunit ribosomal RNA
Source: RNAcentral